Molecule: transfer RNA, 73 nt
Filed under: Acetitomaculum ruminis DSM 5522
Lineage: Bacteria; Bacillati; Bacillota; Clostridia; Lachnospirales; Lachnospiraceae
Rfam family: tRNA
About the family: Transfer RNA (tRNA) molecules are approximately 80 nucleotides in length.
Source: Rfam by way of RNAcentral
GCAUCUGUAGCUCAGUGGAUAGAGCAGCGGUUUCCGGUACCGCGUGUCGGGGGUUCGAUUCCCUUCAGAUGUA